UACGUAGGGUGCGAGCGUUAAUCGGAAUUACUGGGCGUAAAGUGUGCGCAGGCGGCCGAGCAAGUCGAGUGUGAAAGCCCCGGGCUUAACUUGGGAAUUGCGCUCGAAACUACUUGGCUGGAGUGUGGCAGAGGAAGGUGGAAUUCCAGGUGUAGCGGUGAAAUGCGUAGAUAUCUGGAGGAACACCGGUGGCGAAGGCGGCAUCCUGGACCGACACUGACGCUGAGGAGCGAAAGCCAGGGGAGCAAACGGG
RNAcentral lists this ribosomal RNA (253 nucleotides) under uncultured bacterium. RNAcentral describes it as "partial 16S ribosomal RNA". It matches the Rfam family "Bacterial small subunit ribosomal RNA", at positions 524 to 776 of the family's 1533-position model. The record is from RNAcentral.